CACUCAGGGGUCAAACAUUUAAAAUGUAAAAAAAAAAAACACAUAAACAUUUCAUUUGAAACCACAAAGCAAGAAGGUUUGCUUUGUUCUCGUUUAUCAUGUUGUCUUUUAACAAUUUGUUAAAAUUGUACCCCUUGAUUCCAAACUGGCCGUGCACAGGGUAAACUUUGUAUUUGUAUGCCCCCCUUCGAUGAAGAGGGGUCUAUUGUUUUGCACAUGUCGGUCGGUCGGACGGUCCGUCCACCAAAUGGGUUCCGGAUAAUAACUCAAGAACUCUUAGGCCUGGAAUCAGAAAACAAUCAUAAUUACAUUGAUCAUGACUGGCAGAUGAAUCCUAUUGAUUUUCAGGUCACUAAGUCAAAGGUCACGGUCACAGUGACUCCAAACAGUAAAAUGGUUUCCGGAUGAUAACUCAAGGACGCUUAAGCUUGGAAUCAGGUAAGUUCAUAGGGGCAUUGUUCAUGACUGACAGAUGACCCAUAUGGAUUUUCAGUACUCCAGGUCAAAGGUCAAGGUCACAGUGACUUGAAACAAAAAAUGGUUUUUGGAUGAUAACCCACGAAUGCUUAGGGUUAGGAUCAGGAAAAAUCAUGGGGACAUUGGUCAUGACCGACAGAUGACCCCUAUUGAUUUUCAGAACUCAAGGUCAAACUUCAAGGUCACAGUGACCUGAAGCAGUAAAAUGGUUUCCGGAUAACUCAAGAACGCUUAGGCCUGGUAUCAGGAAAGUUCACAGGGACAUUGGUAAUGACCGGCAGAUGACCCCUAUUGAUAUUUUGGUCACUAGGUCAAAGUUCAAGAUCACAGUGACUCAAAGCAGUAAAAUGGUUUCUGGAUGAUAACUCAAGAACGUUAAGCCUGGAAUCAGGACAGUUCAUAGGGACAUUGGUCAUGACUGACAUAUUACCCCUAUUGAUUUUCAGUACUCUAGGUCAAAGGUCAAUGUCACAGUGACUUGAAACAAUAAAAUGGUUUCCGGUAGAUAACUAACGAAUGCUUAGGUAAGGAUCAGGAAAUUUCAUGGAGACAUAAGCAACUCCACGAGUCACGCGAGCAAUUCUUCUUUAAAUUGCCAAUCAUACUCUAACGUAUUCACACAAUGGCUGCCACUACAACUGACAGCCCAUUUUGGGGGCAUGCGUGUUUUACAAACAGCCCUUGUGCACAAUUUGCUACACACAAUAAUCUGCGGCGUCGGUGGUAUUUUUCACCACUGUGGCAAGUUCUAGUUUUACACUAGAUUGGUAUAUCAGUCAUUAUUAAAUGAUUUGACCAGUAAACGAGUUCACAUAAGACUUUCACCUAACUUUUUGCAAAGUAUCAUUUGUACAGUUCUAAUGAAUGAUUGUAAUUUAAUGCAAUUUUAUUUAAAAUAAAGCUGUAAUUGCCAA
Long non-coding RNA from Dreissena polymorpha, 1391 nucleotides. RefSeq lists it as uncharacterized. The record is from RefSeq and is a predicted model, not a curated record. NCBI's taxonomy places the organism in Eukaryota, Metazoa, Mollusca, Bivalvia, Myida, Dreissenidae. The transcript has 2 exons.